Molecule: long non-coding RNA, 2020 nt
Organism: Lynx canadensis (Canada lynx)
Lineage: Eukaryota; Metazoa; Chordata; Mammalia; Carnivora; Felidae
Exons: 3
Source: RefSeq, a predicted model, not a curated record
GCAUCAAUGGCGGGCUAAGAUCAAACGAUACUCACUCAAGACACCCUGUGUACGAUUCGGAACCUGGCUGCCUCUUAGCUGGGCCACCUUGGACAAAUCUCUUAACUUCUAAAGUACCAUCUGAUGCUUUCCUGCCUUUGCUCCUGAAUGAAGCUAAUGACGUAUUCAAAUAUUCAAUGAGCCUUCUCUGGAUACCCACUCUCUGCUGGGCUUGCUAUACACGAAACCGGAAGGCAGACUUUCCCAUUCCAGAUUUUCUGCGUAUCAGCUCAUCACCUGGGAUACGUCUCAACUGCUUGAAACCUCAGUUUCCCUAAAGAAAAACUAAGGAUGAUAAUAUAGCCAAAGGAAGGCUCAACAAGCUAAUGAAGGUGAAAGCCAUUUAAAGUGUAGAAACUGUGCCCUAUCGGUGCUGCUGUUAAACAGUUUACUAGCAGUUCGUAUUAAUAUAACUAGUAGUUACAUUAACUACUAUAAGCCCAUAUUCAAUUAUUAUUCUUAUUCCUUGCCCCUUAGCUACUACUAAUAUGCUAAUCGUGAUAAUUAACCAAUGCUAUACUUGAUGCAUUUCAGCACCAGAUUUUGCUCUGCUAAACUUGGGGUUUUGCUUGGAGGGGAGAAUAGCAGUGCUGGCCUUCGGGCCGUGCCAGGAAAAUGUGUGGGCCAGAUGGCAAUCCAAGUUGGUCUGAUAGAACAUUUCUAUUUCUGUGGAUUCUCAAAAAUGAACUGACAGGCACGAACCAAAGUGGUGACUCAUAGCCUUCAGGCCCCUGACUUACAGCUUCUGAGCCGAGAUUUCCUAUUGUCCUGCAAAACCUAUUUACGGAAUGCUACAACUGGACCCUUCUGUCCCCGUCGUCAUCAAUGUUGUCGUCACCAUCACAGCCGCCCUUCACCGAGCACCUACUGUGUGCCUGGGCCCGUGGGGCGGUCUAUCAAAAUGGACCCCCUUCGGCUCUGUAACUACCCCACGGUGCCUAUGUCUGAACGGCCCGUCUUCAGAUGCAGAGAUUGUCGGUCAAGGAGACUGAGCAACUUGUCCCCCGUCACAGAGACCCCGAAGGGUGGUGUUGAGAUGGGAGUCCCGAACUUCUACAUUUUUCUUCCUGUAUGAUAUUGUGUCUCCAAUUGUAAUCCUCCUGUGGGCAGUCGCUAGAGUAUGUCCGUGUGUACGCAUACACGUAAGCAUAUGUUUUAAUUCCACUCCCCAGAGGAAAUACAGUACUCCGGCCUGGUACAGAACAUUCAUUAGAAACGUGCUCGCUGGCUUGAAUUUCCAGAAAGUCCAAAAUUUGGUCCACAGUCAUGCUGUUUUGCCCUUGUAAGUUGAUCGAAUAUCAAUACCGGACCCAGAUUCUCAGUAAAUAACUACAGAGAUGGGGGCUUGAACAGAAAUGUCGCUGGCAGAUUAGGCCUAGAAUCUAGACGUUCUUCUGGCUCUCGGGCCAACACUCGACACGCGACACCUUAGGAAUGGAGAAACCUAUUUGUUCUUAGUCACUGCUCCUCUUUAAUCUGCUGUUGCUGAUGAAAAACAAACCCUUAAGGAAGGGAAGGAAUAUCUAUAUCUCUCCACUAGAGACGUCUUCAUCAUCAUUAUCGAGAACAUGUGGGCAAUGGCAGGAUCCUGAGUUUCUCAAGUGGUGUUUGUGUAGGAGACCGCACUGCACUGCGGAUCAGUUGCACAGCUGGAGUCCAUGUGGACCCGAGGGCUUUGUAGGGUCUCCGAGAGACAUCCCCCAAGGCCGUCAGACUAGAUGGCGGUGUGGACACCCAACACAGCCAUUUGGGCAAGAAGAUAGUAAAAUACUAUUUUGGAUCCCAUUUUUGAAGGGAUUGACUUCUUAAGGCACGCACUAGGUUUUCGUUACCAAAUGAACAGUCCCAUUAAAAAAUAUUAUCAAAUUAAUAGCAUAACAAGUUUUUAGGGGAGGUUUAUUAGAGUCAAAUAUUUUUAAAAGCUGUCAUUGAAACAGACAUAGUUGUUAAAUUGAGGAGAUAAUUAGGUACCUGAAAUUAA